GAUGAACGCUGGCGGCGUGCCUAAUACAUGCAAGUCGAGCGAACAGACGAGGAGCUUGCUCCUCUGACGUUAGCGGCGGACGGGUGAGUAACACGUGGAUAACCUACCUAUAAGACUGGGAUAACUUCGGGAAACCGGAGCUAAUACCGGAUAAUAUAUUGAACCGCAUGGUUCAAUAGUGAAAGACGGAUUUGCUGUCACUUAUAGAUGGAUCCGCGCCGCAUUAGCUAGUUGGUAAGGUAACGGCCUACCAAGGCGACGAUGCGUAGCCGACCUGAGAGGGUGAUCGGCCACACUGGAACUGAGACACGGUCCAGACUCCUACGGGAGGCAGCAGUAGGGAAUCUUCCGCAAUGGGCGAAAGCCUGACGGAGCAACGCCGCGUGAGUGAUGAAGGUCUUCGGAUCGUAAAACUCUGUUAUUAGGGAAGAACAAAUGUGUAAGUAACUAUGCACGUCUUGACGGUACCUAAUCAGAAAGCCACGGCUAACUACGUG
RNAcentral lists this ribosomal RNA (497 nucleotides) under uncultured bacterium. RNAcentral's name for it is "partial 16S ribosomal RNA". It matches the Rfam family "Bacterial small subunit ribosomal RNA", at positions 28 to 507 of the family's 1533-position model. The record is from RNAcentral.